Molecule: long non-coding RNA, 526 nt
Organism: Alosa alosa (allis shad)
Lineage: Eukaryota; Metazoa; Chordata; Actinopteri; Clupeiformes; Clupeidae
Exons: 2
Source: RefSeq, a predicted model, not a curated record
CUGGCUUACACUCGAUAUACGACGCUAUACUGUGUAUUAAAUAUUUCUGCUUAGUGUCAGAUAUUUCUCUGCUUAAAGUAAAAGUCAUAAUAUGUGAAGACAAAACGUUGAACUUCAGUGUUUUACAUCAGUAUUAAGCGGCGCAAUGUUUAGUUUAAUCAGAAACGGUAGGUUGGUAAGGUAUAGUGUUUGAGCUCAGCUCAGCUCAGGUAUUUUACUGCAUGUUUGUCAGAGACAGUGUACUAAUUGCUCAUCUUUUUUCAUAUGCACUAUGUCCAUGCCCAUGUUACAGUUUCUAUAAUUAAGCAUUUCUGUUUUAUGGGCAAUCUGUUUGUGUCUACAGCUUCCAAUAGAGGACCCUCAUCAGAGUGAGGCAGGUGAGGAGGAGGACCAAGGAGGCAUACAUCCAAGAGGAGCUCACAAGAUGUCAGCCUUGGAGCAGUUGUUUGAGGAUGAAGACAGAGAACUUCUCCAUACAAGUCAAACAACAAGCAGUGCCCUCUCCAUCACAGAGCAGGUCCAGAAA